UUUGACUCAACACGGGGAAACUCACCCGGUCCGGACACUGGAAGGAUUGACAGAUUAAAAGCUCUUUCUUGAUUCAGUGGGUGGUGGUGCAUGGCCGUUCUUAGUUGGUGGAGUGAUUUGUCUGGUUAAUUCCGAUAACGAACGAGACUCUAGCCUGCUAACUAGUUCGCCGGCAGCUCUUGUCGCGCGGCGCCGCUUCGGCGGCAAACUUCUUAGAGGGACAGGUGGCGUUUAGCCACACGAAGUAGAGCAAUAACAGGUCUGUGAUGCCCUUAGAUGUCCGGGGCCGCACGCGCGCUACACUGAAAGAAUCAACGUGGAUGCCCACCUGCUCCGAGAGGAGUGGGAAACCCGAUGAAUCUCUUUCGUGAUGGGGAUUGGGGCUUGUAAUUGUUCCCCAUGAACGAGGAAUUCCCAGUAAGCGUCAGUCAUCAGCUGGCGCUGAUUACGUCCCUGCCCUUUGUACACACCGCCCGUCGCUACUACCGAUUGAAUGGUUUAGUGAGACCCUCGGACUGGAGUCCGUCCGCCGCUUUCGGGUGGUGGAUGGGGACGGAAAGACGGUCGAACUUGAUCAUUUAGAGGAAGUAA
Molecule: ribosomal RNA, 591 nt
Filed under: Lepetodrilus fucensis
Lineage: Eukaryota; Metazoa; Mollusca; Gastropoda; Lepetellida; Lepetodrilidae
Description: SSU rRNA
Rfam family: Eukaryotic small subunit ribosomal RNA
Source: RNAcentral